GACGAACGCUGGCGGCGUGCUUAACACAUGCAAGUCGAACGGAAAGGCCCUGCGUUUGUGGGGUGCUCGAGUGGCGAACGGGUGAGUAACACGUGAGUAACCUGCCCUUGACUGUGGGAUAACUUCAGGAAACUGGGGCUAAUACCGGAUAGGAGCUCCUGCUGCAUGGUGGGGGUUGGAAAGUGUCGGCGGUUGGGGCUGGACUCGCAGCUUAUCAGCUGGUUGGGGGGGUAGUGGCUUACCAAGGGUUUGACGGGUAGCCGGCCUGGGAGGGUGACCGGCCACAUUGGGACUGAGAUACGGACCAGACUCCUACGGGAGGCAGCAGUGGGGAAUAUUGCACAACGGGGGGAAGCCUGAUGCAGCAACGCCGCGUGCGGGAUGACGGCCUUCGGGUUGUAAACCGAUUUCGACUGUGACGAAGCGUGAGUGACGGUAAUGGGUAAAGAAGCAACGGCUAACUACGUG
Molecule: ribosomal RNA, 468 nt
Filed under: uncultured bacterium
Lineage: Bacteria
Description: partial 16S ribosomal RNA
Rfam family: Bacterial small subunit ribosomal RNA
Source: RNAcentral